GCACCAGCACCAGCACCAGAAGCAGCAGCAGCAGCAGCAGUAGCAGCAACAGUAGCAGUAGCAGCAGCAGCAGCAGCAGCAGCAGUAGCAGCAGGAGCAGCAACAAUAAUAGCAAUAACGACCACAAUAACGUAUAACAACUGCAGCCAAUAAUAGAGCAUAACAAAAACCGAAAACGGCAUUAAGAACAAGAAGAAGAAGAAUUAAAAACAUGUAACGCAGUACAAGCGAACCAACAGCGGGGGAAACAACAACAAUCAGAAAAAGACAACAACAACCGCAGGAAUGUAACAAUUAACAACAACAACAACCGCAACAAUAACAAAACACCACAGAACAAGGGGCCAGCGGUAGCGGCUAUUUUUUUUUUUUAUCUCUGAAGCCAUGAAGAUAGAUAAGCGAGAAUCACAGCGGAGAUCUAGCGGGGUUGCUUGUCGCCGCCGUGGUGGUGUCAACGUUUGCUAGACACUUGCUGAGAUGUUGGUUGCGUGUUCGAGUUGAAUGGCUGUGAACGGGGGGAGAAAGAAGAAGAAGAAAAAGAAGAAGAAGAAAAACGCAACGGCGGGAAUCGACGCUAAAUUUCGAGUGACUUCUGUCUCCUCUCAGAUUUAGUCACACGAAUUACACACACACACACACACACACACACACACACACACACACAUACACACACAUAUAUAUAAUUAUAUAUAUUAUACUACAUACAUAUAUAUAUAUAUAUAUAUACAUAUAUAUAUAUCACACUAUAUAUAUAUAUAAAUAUAUAUAUAUAGAUAUAUAUAUACAUAUAUAUAUAUAAAAUAUUAUUCAUGGCUGGAGUGAGAGUACUAUGUCACAGAACAUGAACAACCAACUAUUGCUUACAGUAUUGUCGUUUGUGGCAGGUGCUGGAGCGCUGGUCACCCUCGCCCUGGCUGUGGCGACAGACUCUUGGCUAUACACCGUAGAAGUCAUCGAUUAUGAAGUUGAAAACACUACGGUUGUAAUUACGGUGAAAAUCCAUUCCGGACUGUGGAGAGUGUGUAUAGUAAACGGUAAGUAAUACGGAGUGAUCCUUCC
This 1059-nucleotide long non-coding RNA is filed under the name Octopus vulgaris (common octopus). The record is from RNAcentral. Lineage: Eukaryota; Metazoa; Mollusca; Cephalopoda; Octopoda; Octopodidae.